This 119-nucleotide microRNA precursor is filed under the name Marmota monax (woodchuck). The record is from RNAcentral. Lineage: Eukaryota; Metazoa; Chordata; Mammalia; Rodentia; Sciuridae.
UAGGGUGCCCAAUAGUCCUGAUUUUCCUGGAACUGUCUCAGUUUAGCACUGAGCAUCCCAUGUAAUGGAAAACCCCACAGCUCCAUGCAAACCACGACAGUUGGUCACCCUAACACGAG